This 429-nucleotide ribosomal RNA is filed under the name Chloroflexota bacterium. Its description in RNAcentral is "Chloroflexi bacterium partial 16S ribosomal RNA". It matches the Rfam family "Bacterial small subunit ribosomal RNA", at positions 355 to 776 of the family's 1533-position model. The record is from RNAcentral. Lineage: Bacteria; Bacillati; Chloroflexota.
UGGGGAAUAUUGCACAAUGGGCGCAAGCCUGAUGCAGCCAUGCCGCGUGUGUGAAGAAGGCCUUCGGGUUGUAAAGCACUUUCAGCGGGGAGGAAGGGGUUAAGGUUAAUACCUUUGCUCAUUGACGUUACCCGCAGAAGAAGCACCGGCUAACUCCGUGCCAGCAGCCGCGGUAAUACGGAGGGUGCAAGCGUUAAUCGGAAUUACUGGGCGUAAAGCGCACGCAGGCGGUUUGUUAAGUCAGAUGUGAAAUCCCCGGGCUCAACCUGGGAACUGCAUCUGAUACUGGCAAGCUUGAGUCUCGUAGAGGGGGGUAGAAUUCCAGGUGUAGCGGUGAAAUGCGUAGAGAUCUGGAGGAAUACCGGUGGCGAAGGCGGCCCCCUGGACGAAGACUGACGCUCAGGUGCGAAAGCGUGGGGAGCAAACAGG